Molecule: long non-coding RNA, 1837 nt
Organism: Hylaeus anthracinus
Lineage: Eukaryota; Metazoa; Arthropoda; Insecta; Hymenoptera; Colletidae
Exons: 7
Source: RefSeq, a predicted model, not a curated record
UUAUUUACAUGUGGAUGCGAGCUUUACGGCUGCCACGCUUUAACGCCCGUUUUCGAAGAAUACCCGGCAGCAUCUUCGUCGCACGGAAGGAGACCUCCAGCCUCCCUGAAAGCAGGAAACGAUCAGCGGCGGGGCGACGCGGACGGAGGAAUCGUUACAAUAAAUGAAAGGGGCAGCGGUUUGACGAGCACGACCUUGAGCUGGUGAAAAAGCGAGGCACCGUGGUACGCGAACAAUGCCCGUGUUACAGAAACGGUCGUCAUAGUCCCUCUGUCGCUCCAGUUUGCUCUCCAGUCUGCUGAUGUGCUGUCUGCGGGCCUCGAGUUCUUCCUCCAGCCGCGCCGUCGCCUGUGCACUGGUCUCCUGGAGACGUUGCAGGCUCUGCUGUAACCUGGACACCUCCUCGACCAGCUGGCUGAUCUGGAACCAAAGAUGGUAAGACUCGACGUCGACGUCGAAUUUUCACGUUCGUCGAAGGUGACGUCGGUUAUCCUCGACGAACUUCCACUUUUGCACACUCGAUCGCGAUCGUAUCGACGACGAGAGAAUCCUGGAUGCGGGGAAUCGAUGCAGGAACUGGAUAAUCGACUUGUCACGCACGCGGACGAUUUGGAAGUGAGCAGGGGCUAUUCGUGGGCCACGCUCGUCGUGGAACCUUUCCAUCCUUGCUGCAGGCGUCGAGGAGCACAAUAACCCCAGCUUCCCGCAACAGCCGAGGUGCCCAUUGGCGCCGAAGUUCUUCGAACCGAUAAGGGGCACAGGUUCGUUUCUUCGAUGGAACUCGUUCGGGAAUCGAUCUCGGACGAGAUGGAUUUCAAGACGUUUCCAGGGUCCGAGGUCAUCGUAUCCAGAAACUGCGGCUUCCGUAAGAAAGAUGGGAGGCUACGUGGAAAAUAUUUUCAGGCAACGUAUUUCAGCUAUGCUUCGACGAAGCUCACUCUUUCAGGACCAAUAGAAGUUUCAAAGAGCUGCAAUCCAUAACGCCCGCGCGUGUCCCAGGCUUCCGUAGGAAUUCCAAGCCCGAAAUUGCAAGGAAUCGUUGCGGGGAGUUGAGCAACAGCGUUGCAACGACGGUCCGCCAACAGGGGUUUUCGGGCCACGGAGACUUCUUCCGAAGGUGGGGGAAGAUGGAGAACCGUCGGCCAGGAAGAAACAGGAGGUGGGAACCUGCUGGCUCUAAUGAACUUACAAUAAUUACGAACCCAUUGAUCUAUGGGGUCUGAAGAGUUUUCCCCCCUGCGCAACAUUGCGGAGGAUCUCGUCUGUUGUUACUCCGAUCCACCCUUGUUGCUCGAAAGCUUCUAGGAUUCGUUGACACAUCGGCUGCUGUACUCGUGAAAAUGUCUACAGAGUUCAAAUUUACAGUUAAAAAUUACAGAGCGAAAAUGUUCGGAAUGGCCAUUAUCGAGAUAAAUACGCGACUGCGGUCUCAAUCUUUCAACCAUUCCAAGUAUUUUGUCCAGGUUCGUUAGCAACUACCUCGUACACAUUGGUAAAGUAUCUCAACAGUGGUAAUGGGCGCUGAAAAAACAAAUCCUUUAAUUGACCCCAAAAAUAAAAGUCCGACGGACUUAAAUCUUAGAAACGAGCAAACCAGACAGUAGCUAUUGUAUCCAUCUGUUAGAAAAUCGUUCGUUCGAGAAUUGGCUACUCGUGAACGUGGCGGUGACCAUACAUAAAUUACGCCCGAGGUACGACAUGUAAUGGAACUUCAAAUAAUUCACGCGAUUGAUUACUCGAGAGAUUCGCAUAUGAUUAACCUGUCGCGUUAUCGUCGAUUAAACCUGCUCACAAAUUUGAGCUGACGACGAAUGAUUAUUAAUGUUAUUGGUGAAUA